AUUGAACGCUGGCGGCAGGCUUAACACAUGCAAGUCGAGCGAGCGGCGGACGGGUGAGUAAUGUCUGGGAAACUGCCUGAUGGAGGGGGCUACCUACUGGAAACGGUAGUUAAUACCGCAUACCAGCAGAAGUGCCCAGAUGGGAGUAGCUAGGAGGGGGGGUAAUGGCUCACCUAGGAGACGAUCCCUAGCUGGUGUGAGGGGAUGACCAGCAACACUGGAACUGAGACACGGUCCAGACUCGUACGGGAGGCAGCAGUGGGGAAUAUUGCACAAUGGGCGGAAGCCUAAUGCGGCCAUGCCGCGUGUGUGAAGAAGGCCUUCGGGUUGUAAAGCACUUUCAGCGAGGAGGCGUUACUCGCAGAAGAAGCACCGGCUAACUCCGUGCCAGCAGCCGCGGUAAUUC
RNAcentral lists this ribosomal RNA (406 nucleotides) under uncultured bacterium. RNAcentral describes it as "partial 16S ribosomal RNA". It matches the Rfam family "Bacterial small subunit ribosomal RNA", at positions 29 to 526 of the family's 1533-position model. The record is from RNAcentral.